Molecule: ribosomal RNA, 440 nt
Filed under: uncultured bacterium
Lineage: Bacteria
Description: partial 16S ribosomal RNA
Rfam family: Bacterial small subunit ribosomal RNA
Source: RNAcentral
CCUACGGGAGACAGCAGUGGGGGAUAUUGCACAAUGGGGGAAACCCUGAUGCAGCGACGCCGCGUGAGUGAAGAAGUAUUUCGGUAUGUAAAGCUCUAUCAGCAGGGAAGAAAAUGACAGUACCUGACCAAGAAGCCGCGGCUACCUACGAGCCAGCAGCCGCGGUAAUACGUAGGGGGCAAGCGUUAUCCGGAUUUACUGGGUGGAAAGGGAGCGUAGACGGUUGUGUAAGACUGGAGUGAAAGGCCGGGGCCCAACCCCGGGACUGCUUUGGAAACUGUGGAACUUGAGUACAGGAGGGGCAGGCGGAAUUCCUGGUGUAGCGGUGAAAUGCGUAGAUAUUAGGAGGAACACCGGCGGCGAAGGCGGCCUGCUGGACUGAAACUGACGUUGAGGCUCGAAAGCGUGGGGAGCAAACAGGAUUAGAUACCUCUGUAGUC